This 450-nucleotide ribosomal RNA is filed under the name uncultured bacterium. RNAcentral describes it as "partial 16S ribosomal RNA". It matches the Rfam family "Bacterial small subunit ribosomal RNA", at positions 338 to 795 of the family's 1533-position model. The record is from RNAcentral.
CCUACGGGAGGCUGCAGUGGGGAAUUUUGCGCAAUGGGCGAAAGCCUGACGCAGCAACGCCGCGUGGGUGAUGAAGGUCUUCGGAUCGUAAAACCCUGUCGCCAGGGACGAAGGUCGGGGGGUGAAUAGCCCUUUGGCUUGACGGUACCUGGAGAGGAAGCCCCGGCUAACUCUGUGCCAGCAGCCGCGGUAAUACAGAGGGGGCAAGCGUUGUUCGGAAUUAUUGGGCGUGAAGGGCGCGUAGGGGGUGGCAAUCCACGGGCUUAACCUGGGAACUGCAUCCCAGACUGGGACGCUGGAGUACUGGAGAGGGUGGUGGAAUUCCACGUGUAGCGGUGAAAUGCGUAGAGAUGUGGAGGAACACCAGUGGCGAAGGCGGCCACCUGGACAGUAACUGACGCUGAGGCGCGAAAGUGUGGGUAGCAAACAGGAUUAGAUACCCGAGUAGUC